UACGUAGGGUGCAAGCGUUGUCCGGAAUUAUUGGGCGUAAAGAGCGUGUAGGCGGUUCGGUAAGUCUGCCGUGAAAACCUGGGGCUCAACCCCGGGCGUGCGGUGGAUACUGCCGGGCUAGAGGGUGGUAGAGGCGAGUGGAAUUCCCGGUGUAGCGGUGAAAUGCGCAGAUAUCGGGAGGAACACCAGUAGCGAAGGCGGCUCUCUGGGCCUUACCUGACGCUGAGACGCGAAAGCGUGGGGAGCGAACCGG
This 253-nucleotide ribosomal RNA is filed under the name uncultured bacterium. RNAcentral describes it as "partial 16S ribosomal RNA". It matches the Rfam family "Bacterial small subunit ribosomal RNA", at positions 524 to 776 of the family's 1533-position model. The record is from RNAcentral.